RNA transcript from Phasianus colchicus (ring-necked pheasant), 7826 nucleotides. RefSeq lists it as uncharacterized. Lineage: Eukaryota; Metazoa; Chordata; Aves; Galliformes; Phasianidae. The record is from RefSeq and is a predicted model, not a curated record.
CCUCUGGAGUCACGCCGCGCCCCCUGCCGGGCACCGUGAGGUGAUGGCGGGGCCGGGCCGUGCCCGAGACGCCCCGCGGUUGCCUUUAGGCACCGAUGUGCCCCACGGGCUUCACGAGAUUACUGACGCGAGUGUCCGUAAGCGAGUGCGACGGACGGAACCCGGAGGUGCUUUCCCAGCCCCGGGGCCCUCAGCCGCGGUGUCCCAGAGGGCCGCGCUGUGUGGGGCCGCACCGCAGGAGCUCGGCUGUGCGUCGCUGCCUCCCAGGUAAGCGCUGCGGAGCGGCGGUGGCUGUGAGGUGCGGCGGGCCGCACGCACCGUGCCGGCACCCCGGCCUUCCUGGGAGAAGGGAUGCGGGUUUCCCAAUACAAAGAGGUUGAAAAACGCCACUUUGCAGCCCCACGAGCUCCAGGCGGCGUGCGAUGCGGGCACGAGGCUCCGCAGCAGCGCCUGGCCUGCAGUGCCCGCACAGCCCGCCGGUGGGACGGCUGUGUGCUGGUGGCUGUGUGCUGAUGGGACGGCUGUGUUUGAGGGAUUGCAUCACCGUGGGCUUCUGAGCGGCUCCGAACUCAAGAUGCAUAUUUUAAAUCUCCCCUGCUGUUGCCGAUAAUUUGUUCCAUAUUUACCGUGUUACUUAGUAUUUGCAAAUGGGUUGGGCUUUUUUAGAAUGUAAAUGUUAAUUAAAUUACGGAGCUGUGGGCACGGCAGGUCGGACUCACGGCUGACCCUUCGUGCUGCUGCAGUCUGUGCCCUCAGCGUUCGGUGCUGUUGACUUCCCUCCACAUCCAGCCGUUGCACCUGAAAAAAGCCGGUGCUCUCUUUGCUGUGUGAACUCAGACAGAACUGGUGCUGCGCUGUGUUUCGUGCCACCAUUGACUCCUGGAGGCUUUCAAAGGAUGGGGCUAUGAAACUGCAUUGUUUGUUAAAAUGUAAAUAGCUGAUAUGUAGAAUGUGCUGUUCUGGACUUAAUCAAAGAGCACAGUCCUUAUGAUAUCCGUGUCUGUGAGGAGAGGAUUGGGUAAGAGUUUAGGUAAAAUAAAGUAAGAUAAAAGGUUUAAUACCACGGGCUUUUAAAACCACAUUUACUCAGCAGGAGUCUGAACGGUAAUAUUGUUCCUUAAGUAAAUCUUAGCAAACUUGCACUAUAUCAGAAAAAGGAGUGUUUCAGAAGAAAGCUGUCUCAAGCACACAUCUCCUGUGUUCUGUGGCACUUUCAUCCAGUGUCCAGUAUUGUAUUUUUAAAAUCAACUGGAGAAAGCAAUAGUAGAACUAGAAUAGACUGUCCUUUAUGCACUCGAUGAUAACUUUCACUUUGGAGCGAGUAUGAAACCAAUGCAUUUCAUGCUCAUGGGCCUGCUAAUGAGCAAGCUGGUGAGAGCUCCAUUGUUUUUAUGGCAGACAGAUUUAUUAUUUUACUUUCAACAUAUUAUAUAUUAUUUGUUAAAUCUGUUUACAGAAAAUCAGUUGAACCAAUGCUGAGAAAAAAUAUUUUCCUUUUGGCAACUAAUUUUAAAAACAAACUGAGGCUUCACUUCAGCGUCCACUGAAGCCACAAAAGUAGAGACAGGUCAGCUGUCUUGAGCGUCAGAUCCCUGAUUGCUGUCCACGUUGGCAGUAAGUUUUCAGCUUAACAAUCUCAUUUGAAGUAGCAAAUUCUGCCCGUGGAAGAUUCUUUUUGUACUGGGGCAGUUUUUAAAUUUAAAAGUACUUUUUGAAUGCUUUUUCACACUGGAUGAUACUGUGUAGGUGUUUCUACUUCAGUAUGAAAUCUGUGGGAAAAGAACCAGUUGUCCCCAUUCCCUUGUAAGUUCACCACAUCUGCAUUUGGUAUGUUCAGCAUAGGUUGUUCCAGUCUUGAUGACGUAACAGGUGUCUCCUCUGCUUUAAUGCAUUUAGAAAGUAUUUCAGCAGACACUGUUACGUGGUCUUAAUAGCCUGCAUGUUGGCAGCCACUGAAACGAGGCAUAAUUCACCCUUAAUAGUUAUGGAGUCCACAAAUUCUGCCACGUGAUGCUCAACAGUUUACUACCAACAUUGUAUUUUCUGGACUUUCAUAACACAUAGUAACUGCCCUUUUGAGAUAAAAAUCAACAGCUGUGGGAAGACUGGUGCAGCUGGGCUGUGUGUGUUCUGUCAUUUCUGUCCCAGUCUCAGUCUGCUGAGUUCUGCUGGAAAAGGCUGUGUGACCUCACCACCCCACGCUCACCUGCUGUGCCUGCAGCAAACCUCCAUCCCUGGUGCUGUGCACUGCAGCCAGCAACCAGGGGACACCUGUGGGAAGGAUGUGAGAAAGCUAUCGGCAGUCUGAGUGAUCUUGACUUAAAUGGUGCAGCUUGAGCAAAUACACAGCUCCGGCUCUGUCUGUACUCUCUUCCUGGUGAGAAGGCACAGGCUGAAAGUGCAAAUAAGCAGAGUUUGAUGAUACUUUGGUGUGAAAUGAUGGGGGACAGGCAAAAACACUUAGAGGAGCUCUAAGGCUACAGAAUAAACGGAACCUCAUGUUUGGAAAUGAAGUUGAGACAGCACAUCACUUUCUGAAAGAAGUGAAGGGCGCUGGAAUUUGGAUGGCCCCGGUAAGAGCAGUGCACAGAUAAGAGCUCUUCUGGGAUUGCGUUUGGCAGGGCCAGAUGUUGGCAGAACUCAGCUGGCGUCGAGUGCUUUAAAAAUCCCACCCUGGCCCUUUUAGUUCUCUGGGAGUGCAUUGCCCCAGGCUGCGUGACUUCACACAGCAGCACACUUUUAAGCACUUCCAUGCUGGUUUGCAGUAUUGAUUGGUGCUCUCCUCACAUGCUCUUCCUUUUUCAUCUGUAGGAAGGUUCAUAAAUUAUCAGUUCGUGUUUGUUUUGCUUAGGUGAUUUCUUUAAACAUGCAUAGACUUAGGCAUUUAGUCAGUGUCUUUGUCUCUUUAAAGACAUUUGCUCUUGUAUACUCUCACUAUUAGCCUUUGGCUAAUGGUAUGGCACUACUUGCCAUAAGGACUGCCUGCUUGCUACGCUUGCUGGCCACGUAGGUGCCUCUUCUUCCCCAUUUCAGGUUCUCCUACAGAACUUUGUUGGCCACAGUGAACAGUUAAGUAGCUAAAUGCCUAUUCAACGAGUGCCUUGCCAAGUUAGCAGUGCAGGCAUAUUUUUGUAAAGAAAUAUGCAGCUCGACUUGUGGUGGCCAUUGAGAAGCUGAGCUGCAAAAACAUCAACACCACAAGGACACAAUAUUUUUCUCCUGAUUACAACACGCUCAUUUAUUUUGGAAUUCUUAUGCCAGCUGAGGACUACAGGGCAGUGACAGUACAAGAGUUGUCCAGAUGCCAAGGAAAAGAGAGAGCUGUAUAUGUACUCCUGUUCUGAAAUGGUGGAGGGAAGGGAGAAAGGCUGCGUGAGGAUUUGAAAGAAUACAUUUCCAUAAACGUUUUCAAGGGAUCCCACAGACUGCUCCUGCAGCAGAUACCUGCCGUGCUUGGAAGCUGUGUGUGAGAUCUGACUGAUGCUGAAUUCUCAACUAGUGUUCACUUGAAGAGAAUGCAGAGAUCUGCAGGUUCAGAACAACUGUUCUUUUUUUUUUUUUUUCCCUUUCUUUUAAAAUUAAGAGAAGUGCUUACAUUUCAAAUGAGCUGUGAAAGCCAUCGCAGAAGGUUCUUGUGGGAGCAGUCCACAGCUGGGGAGACAGUGGUUCUACUGCCCCACUGGGUUGUUUGGGAGCAAUGCAAAGAAUAAACAAACAGCUGGAGGCUUGGCUUUGUUUCAUGUGGAAAACGCAAAUCAUGCCUUACUGUGGUACAUGUAAGACAGUGAGUGGUUUUGCCCCUUAAUAUAUGAUCCUCUCUGUUUGAAGGCCUCUCUAUCAUUCAGUGUCCUUUGAAGCCUUUCGAUUCCCUGGCAGCUCUCAGCAGUGACUUUUUGAAAGAGACUGCGUCCAUCGGAACGCACAGCAUCGGGCGUGGGCUGGGCAGGCUGCAGGACCUCACCACAGCACCUUUAUCUGCAAAACACUUGAGCCAAGCACAGGUGUGCUGCAGCAGUCCAGCACAGCAUGUCUUCUGUUGUGCUCCCUCUUGGUUUUAGAUCAGACUGUGCACUUUUGUAGGGGCAGGGACUGCCUUUUUUCUUAUGCAUUGGUACAAUACCAAACAUGGCUGCUCCAUGUCUGAGCUCUGAGAUACGACAACAAAUCUUUGAGAGGAUAUAUAUGCUAUCUUAAUGGCAUCAUCAUGGGUGUGAUGUCACUGUUGUGGUUGGAGAAGAAAGACAUAGAUGGUCUACAGACAAAAUUACUGAGUAUCCCCUGAUUGUGGGUGUGCUUAUCCAAGCCACCUAAGAGCUGACAUUUCAUAUCAGUACUUUAUAUGUUCAAAGCACAGUUCCAGCUGGCUUGAAUUGCAGCUGUUCUGAACGCACUCCCUGCUAUGAACAGAGACUCAACUGAGGCUGCAUAGCUUAAGCAUUGUAGAAAAUGAGGCAUAUCCAUCAAGUGGCCACCUGUGAAAAGCUUUCAGUGCUGUGCAUGCUGCCACACUGGGAUUCUUUGGCAGAACACGGGGAGAGAAUUUGUUUUGCUGGAAUGAUGUUCAGUUCCUGCACUGCUUUGCUCAGAGUCUCCCUUUGCACUGUACCACUGUCAGGUGUGUGAGCAGCAAGCUCUGGGGCACAAAGCAAGUCCACCCAGUCACAAAGACAUCCACAGCCUUGGCUCAGGUGUGAGAGCAGUCCUGGGAGUGUUUCUCAGACACUAAGGGACCUGGUACAGCGUGAUUUAUUGCCACGGGUGUGUUUGUUCCAUGCUCUCACAUAGGCCCUUCAGGCUCGCUGCUCUGCAUAGCGCUCUCUGCCCUGCUCAGGGGGCUGCACAGGAACCGCUCCCCAGUGCUGGUGUGGAGGAACAGCAGCAAUUCAGAUGCAAAGUAGGAAAUUCUACCAACGGUUACGUUAAAUUUAGAAGGCUGCUUCUAAACUAAUUUUUGUCUGUGUGGUGUUUCCUUUCUGUGAGGAUUACUUUGAGUACUUGUGCAGAGAGUAAUCAGUAUUCCUCCCUGCACAGCUGUUCCCUGUAGCUGCAUUCUUAGUCCUUUGCACUCACCACCAGUCAGCAGGUCCACUGCCAGCAGCAGCACGUCUGCCACUGCCUUCUGUGUGGCUGGGAUCAGCCCUUCUCACUGACAGAUAACUCCACUGCAAUGAAAUCAGAUGCCGUGAGGCUCUGCAGCCUCUCUGCCAGUAUUUCACUGUGAUAAAAGACAUGAAUUGUCCUAAGUGAGGACUGCUCAGUUUUGCUGUUUUCUGACCUUGUGGUGGCCAGUUCUGUACUCUGUGUGCCUGUGUGCUUUCAUCUGCCUUUUCCCUCUUUUUUAUCUCUGUUGUCCACUGAGAUGGUCCAGUAUGUGGGGCCUGAAGUGCCUUCAGCACAUACACAAUGCCUGCUGCAAAGCAAUCCUGCUUACAGGGCACCAGUGUUCACCGAUAUCUUUAGCUGAGAAAGCAAAGUGAGCGACUGAAAGAAGCUGAACUCAACAACAGUCACUGAGCACGUGUCAAGUGCACAUAUCACAACGCAGAAAAUGAGCACCAGUUUGUAUGAAAUCUGUUGGAUUGCCUUUCUGCAGUCUGUGAUAAAUCUCCAUAUGAAAUCACAGCUAUCCUUGCGUACCCCUCCACAUGUUCACACAAGGUUUCGAGAGCAGCCUUUCAACAAGGAGCUGCUAUUUUCCUGUGUUCUUAGUCCAUAAUACAAGCUGUUACCUCCUUUUACAAAUGUUUGUUUGCCCACUGAAUGAGCCAAUCAGACCAAAGUCAGCUUCCAUUAUGAGCACUGUCUGGCAGUGUUCUGGGUUCUACCUAGGAUCUCAGAACUGUGAAUUCAGUUCUGGGGCCUGAGCAAGCACACACAGUUGCAUCUAGCUCCUGCUGGAAAGAUUUAUCAGACAGAGGUGACAUCUUUGACCCAGUUUUGUCCUGCCGGGGUUUCUCUGAACACCUCCACGAGCUGCAGAGGGAGAGGAGUUGUCCCAGCACCAGUGUGUUCAGAGCUGUGCCUCCAGAGUCCCAGCAGGGCAGCUGCAUGCUUCUUCUCUCCUCAUCAGCGCUGUGACCCUGCAGGAGCAGCAUCUCCAGCAAGCCCACAUUGGCUUCCUGUGUGCCUUGAAAGUUGUAUUUGCUUUGUCUACUGAAAAAACACAUUUUUACUACUGUCAGCACUCCAGAACCAAUAAAUUUGAGGCAAAGGGAGUUGUUUCCUCCUCUGCACCAGGCACCAUUGCCAGUAGAGUGACCAGCUUGGUCCUGCCUGAGCUGCUGGCCUCUGUCCCUAUCCCAGGCAGGGCUGGCAUCAUGCACCAGCUCUGGAUCAGGCCCUUUACCUCUGGGUUUCAUUUAUUGCUGUUUUCAGCAAACCCUGAACUAAACCAAUUUGAUGGGGAUCCAAAUCUCUUUUCCCUCUGACCCAGAGGCUUCUGGCAGAGCUGUUACUGGCAGCUCUCCCCAUCCUGCUAUCAGCCAUUCCACCGAGAAAUUCUUGGGCCGUGAGUGACUUCUGUCACUUCUGCUUUCCUCGAGCUCGUGCGGCCUCGCCAGCAGCGCGGUGCUCCUUGCAGACACCUGGCCUGGCGCAGGCACAGCACGGAGCAACCCGCUCUUCCUGCAGCCCCACAGCUGCAGUGCGGCACGGGAGGGUCAGGGCUCCCCGUGGUUUUGAGUGUAGAACCUGAAGCACACAGCUGGCAUGAACAGGCAGGACACAGGCUUCGUAGGCUUUAUUUUUAGACUCUGAGACUGGUCGUUAAAAAAACUGUUUUCAAGUACCAACAGAGUAAAACUGAAUUUGUUAUGAAAGCAGAAAUACAGGAUGUCAGGAAGUAACUUCAGAAUUUUUGCUUUCUCUUCAAAGGAGUUAUUUUAACCUGUUGUUGUUUUUGUGUCUUUGUGUUUAAACAAGGUGGCUUGAAAGCAAAUUCAGAAAUAUUUGCAGUGACUUACAGGUUGCUUUCCCUGUCUGCUCCUUGGCAGCAUUGCGGUACACAAUGAGGAGGAACUGGCCCACACCAGUGGCCACUUUCCCAGCAGUUUCAUUGGGGAAAAAUCUGAUCUAACCUAAUAUUUGACUGCUUUCAUAAAAAUCCUUUACAAAGAAGUAUGGCAACGAAGACUCCCUGAAAAGAAGGAGAAGGGAGGUUGGGAUCCAAGGAGGAGCGGUUUCGCUCUUCCUCAUCCACUUAAUACCGCACAUUUCUAACUGUAGAACUCACAGCCUGAAUGCAAUCCCUCCCAAAAGAGCUCCACAGCGAAACGAGGCCGGCUUCAGGUGGGAAGGCAGUGAGGGCGGAGAGCACAGCACCUAGUUCACUGUCAGCCUCCUUUUCUGGCACAUGGCUUGGGUCAGUUUUCCACCUUCUUCAUGUCAUUGUGUUGAGUUCAGCCUAGGGAGUGAAAAUAGAUGAUAAAAUACAGUUAAUUUUUAGAAAAGCAGAUGAACGUGGGUAAUACAAUCAACGUAUUACAUUCAUUAAGAUCCUAAAUGUGAAGAGCAGCGUUUUAACAAAUGCAUGAAUAAUUUAAAAGUGGCUGAGCUUCAGUCCGUUAAACUCAGGCUCCUAAGUGUCUACACAGCCCGUAGGAUUCCAGCACUGUAGGACGUUUUACUCCCGUCCUCACGGAGCGCUCACUGACCCUGCCUGCAUGCCGACCGUGCCUCGCGAUGCUUUUUGUGACACAGCACUUCUGCAGUAGAAACGACGUUUGGUGUCAGUCUGUAAAACCGCUCCACGUGCGUAACGUCGAGGCAGCGUUUUGGCAACGCGACAGUGUUUCCGACGGAGCAGCCCCGAGCGCGGCCGUGGGGCC